UGAAAAUGCUCUGAACUUUUAAGUUUCCCAGAGCCUUUCUAAAAAGAUUGCUUACCACCUUGGCUAAAGGUACCAGGUGUUGAAAAAACUCCUAUAUGAUUAUAUACAAAUACAGUUACCUCCACAUCCCUAAAGAAUCAAGGGAAAGGAAAAAUGAAACUUAUAACAAGAAAUACCAUUUCCUAAAUCAGCAGUAGAAACAAAGGGCAUUUAUGUUUUUAUUAGGUUGACACUUAGCGGCUUUCUGUUCUUGGAAUAUUAUUAAAAACCAAACUAGUGUAAACUAUGUUGAUAGGUUAAAUUGAAUCUUUAUCUGUGGUUAGCAUAGGAAUGGCCUUCCGAAGCACUGGGGUGGGGAAUUGCCA
This 365-nucleotide long non-coding RNA is filed under the name Marmota monax (woodchuck). Lineage: Eukaryota; Metazoa; Chordata; Mammalia; Rodentia; Sciuridae. The record is from RNAcentral.